This is a long non-coding RNA of Lepus europaeus (European hare), 3359 nucleotides long. RefSeq lists it as uncharacterized. NCBI's taxonomy places the organism in Eukaryota, Metazoa, Chordata, Mammalia, Lagomorpha, Leporidae. The transcript has 3 exons. The record is from RefSeq and is a predicted model, not a curated record.
ACGAGUUUCGCCAGUUGUGCUUUCACUCUCCAGAUGAGGUCUGGGUCAUUGCCCCUUACAUUCUAAACACGUGCAAUGGCUUAGAAGCUGUUUCAGGCUUUGGGUCUCAAGGUGUGGUCUCCAAUCCACCAUCAUCAGCAUCGGCUGGGAACUUGUUAGAGCGGCAACUUCUAGGAUCCCAACCCGGAUCUAUGAGCCUGACAUUCCAGGGGAGCAAGCUGGUACUCUGUCUUAACCUGCUCUCCAGAAUGGCAUGCACUUGGAAUCCUAACAUAUGCAGCUGUUUGAGCCUGCCAUGUUUAAGAAGAAGGUGCACGUAUGAAUGGACUACACAGCGACUGGGUUACCAAUGUGGCUGCUCCCACCCCAGGGAGAGGACAGUCAGUGCAUUUUACACCCUGUGGCCCGGCGCCCUCACCUGCUAGUACGUGCUUUGCUCUCCGAAUUUUUGUUUUAGUGAGAAUCUACGUGGUAUGCAGGGGGAAAAAAAAAGAAAAAGAAAACCAAUAAGUUGCAUGAUCUAUGUUUGCCCAAGUAGUCCAUUUUCUGCAACAGAUUCAGUUUUCAUGCGAUCCUAGAAUCUGUCACUAUAAUAAUAUAAAUAAUUACCAGGUACUUAAUGUGCCUCACGCUGCAAGUGUUCAUUAAGUAUUUAAAAAUAACUCUCUGAAGUAGAUAUCACUAAAGUCAUUUUACAGAUGUAGAAACGGAGGCUUAGGAAAUCUAGCGGACUUGCCCCGGGUCACAGAGCUAGUGAGUCACGCCCGGAGAUUCACAUCUGUUGCUCUCACUCAAGGCCUGUGUUUAUCUCUGUUCCUUGCUUCAGAAACCUCUUAGCAGACACCAUGUGUCAAUUGCCUUGCUAGAUGCUGAGGAAAAUAUAGGAACUGAUUUCAACAGAGCUUAUUAGGAAAGAACAAUUAAAAAAAAAAAAACCAAGUAACUGAAUAAUUAUGCAUUUGUGUGAGGCGGGCAGUGCAGGCUCAGAUGUUCUCCCUGACGUCCGCGCAUCAUCUAAUUCAUGGAAGACACCUGUGGUGGUCUUCAUCCUGUCCUGUCCCAGUUCUCAAGCAGUGUGAAGGAAUGGGACACAGCAAAGUCUGUGUUGGUGACGAAUCCAUCAAUUGGGUCAUCUCUCCCGCUCGUAAAGGAAGCUGGAAGAAGAUGUGCCUCCGGAGAUGAAUCCGGAUCAUUCCAGAAGCUUGCCGACUGGCCCCAGGGACCAAACUGCCGUUCAGAGGAGACUCGGCCCCAGGCCUGCCUGCUGGAUAGAGUCACAUGUUUUCAGCUUGCACAGUAGCGCAGACAGCUUUGAGUUGAUACAGACGAUUUGGCUACUAUCUCACUUUCAGCUAAUUUUAUGAUUGUAUGGGCACACGCUUUCCUAACAAGUUCCAAUCCUAUCUUGUGGCCAGUCCACGUCUUUCAGAAUGUAGUGAGAUUCAUGGCUUCAUUUUAACCUCGGGCUGUUUCCACCAUUGAAAUCUUCACAUCAGGUUGCUAGAGACACACAGGAUUGCCUUUAGUCACUUGACUUGAACAGGUGCCUUAUGCAUGUAUUCACUGGGUGUUCCUCCCACACCUGUUCUCCUUUGGGAGCCUUACAAGCACUAAUUACUAUCAAGGAACCUAAUCCAAAUGGUCUCCAUGGGUGCUCCAGUCAUGAGGGCCUCAGGCGUUUUCCAAGCAGUGUCGAAAGUCUCUCUUUGCUCCAUGUGGGAGAUGGGUCAGUUUGCUAGGGCUGCUGUAACAAACUACUACAGACUUGGAUGACUUGAGCAACAAGAAUUUAUUUUCUUGCUAUUACGGAGGCUCAAGGUUUAAGAUCAGUGGUUUGGGGGUUGGUUCUUUUGUAGAUUCUAGCCAUCAUCUCCCUGGUCCUCACGUGGUUUUCCCUUGGUGUGUUUCUGGAUCCCCACCUCCUCUUCUUAAAAGAACACCCUUCAUAUUGGAUUAAAGCCUGCCCUAAUGACUUUAUUUCAGUUUAGUUUUCCUCCUCAAGGCCCUGUCUCUGCAUACAGUCACAUACUGAGGUCCUCGGGUUAGGACUUCAAAGCACAGAUGUUGGAGGCAAAAUCCAGCUCAUAACGGGGCAGUGCGCAAAAUGUAAGUGCGUUCCCGACAGACGUGUCACUUCGUGAUGGAGUAGAGGGUUCAUGGCACCUCCUCAAUUCCCGCAUAUUCCACAGGGCUGGCCUGGAGCCACCUCAGGGCCUGCUCCCUGUCCCUGUACGGAGAGCAGCCUCUGCAAGCACAGUGUUUGCCCUGGACAGGACAUGAAAGGGUGGAAAUAACAUUCACUCGCAAAGGGAAAGUGAUUUAAUUUCCUUGCAGGCCUGAGGAAGUCCUUGGACUGUCUCCGAUUGUUGGUAAUGCUUUUAACACUUGCUAAUUCCUCCCUACAUGCUCUGGAACCAUUUUUUCUUUUCCUAAAUAAACAGAAAUCACUGUAGGCCCAGGAGCUUUUGGCUAGCAACAGCAUCUAGCCCUAACGGAACAUUGUUUUUGUUUUGUGUCUGUUAGGUUUGCUUUCAUUCAAUGCAUGAGGUUACCUUGCAUUUCCAUUUGUGGUGAGUGACCGUGUUUUGCUAUGGUUGUAAUUUAGCAUAAUGCAUUUACAUUUUGGAAAGUGAAACUCCUGGAAGAAAAAUAUUAAUGGUAGCACAGGUGGUUGAUAGAUACGGCAAGAGUAUUUGCACCAGCCCCAAGAGAAUGGAAGUCUUCUAAAUGCUGCUGUACUGUGUAAGAUAUGCAGAAGACUGGUCUUCCCUGGUCUUACAGACUUGAAUUGCCCAUCAAGGCACAUUCGUUCGAGCACCUGGCAUCUCUGCUUCUAGUCUGAACCACAGCCUUGACUAUUAUGCCCAAGCUUGUUUCCAGGGCCAUGUGCCACAUCCCAGCACAGCGUUCCUUCUUUACUGGGGCUAGGAGGACACAGAAUGGGGAAAAACUGCUUGCUCGUGAGGCAGGGUUCCACCCCAUGGAUUCCUCUCCCUGGACUCAGCGCCAACUCCAACAACAGUAAAGCCCUCGUCUGAAUAAAGGAGCAAUUAAUGAGUUUUAGGACCAACACAUGUCGACAGAGCCACAUUUUUGGCUUGAAUCUGAAAACUUGAGAAAUCCCAUAUCUGAUUCAUAAUUCUUUCCCAUGUCACACUUCCGUGUUACAAUUUGGAGUUUCAUUCCUUCCUUCUCUACUGCAUCUCUGAUUUCAUUCCAACUUUAAGGGCUCCGGUAACUUAAUGAGGAAUCUAGGGUUUUGUUUGAGUUGGCUAUUCUGGCUUUAUAAAUGUUUUAUCUGUAAGAGCGAAAUAUCAAAAAAAAAAAAAAAGAAUAAAAUCUCUCUCAAGAUCGGUUAA